CUAACACCUAAAACACACACAUCAUUCACGCAUAUACCAUUUUUUAGCUUGAGCUCAAGCUUUUGAGCUCCGAUUUGAGCACCGAGAUGAACGCCGAUCAUCUUUUCGAUCACGUAUCUAAGUAGGUCCUUUUGGGAAGUAACGACUUGAGGGAGAGAGUGACGUUACUCAUUGAUACAGAGACACAACGAGGUUGAGCUGAUGUGAUGAUGGUGCUGCAAUGAGCGGAGUCUCCAGGGUUGUUAAUAAAUAGUUAACCUGUCUAGAAUAUGUCUUCAUACAUAUGUCUAGCUACUUUCCGCUGCAAGAUGUUGUUGAUGUUAUAGUAUGUUAUGUCAUACUUUGAGUCUUAAGAGAAUGGUUUCAUAUGAUGUAUAACUUGAUUAAUGAUAUUAAUUAAGUUUUAUGCUGUCUUUCA
Molecule: long non-coding RNA, 418 nt
Organism: Salvia miltiorrhiza (redroot sage)
Lineage: Eukaryota; Viridiplantae; Streptophyta; Magnoliopsida; Lamiales; Lamiaceae
Exons: 3
Source: RefSeq, a predicted model, not a curated record